Molecule: ribosomal RNA, 456 nt
Filed under: uncultured bacterium
Lineage: Bacteria
Description: partial 16S ribosomal RNA
Rfam family: Bacterial small subunit ribosomal RNA
Source: RNAcentral
CCUACGGGCGGCAGCAGUGAGGAAUAUUGGUCAAUGGGCGCGAGCCUGAACCAGCCAAGUAGCGUGAAGGAUGACUGCCCUACGGGUUGUAAACUUCUUUUAUCAAGGAAUAAAGUGCGGCACGUGUGCCUUUUUGUAUGUACUUUAUGAAUAAGGAUCGGCUAACUCCGUGCCAGCAGCCGCGGUAAUACGGAGGAUCCGAGCGUUAUCCGGAUUUAUUGGGUUUAAAGGGAGCGUAGAUGGGUUGUUAAGUCAGUUGUGAAAGUUUGCGGCUCAACCGUAAAAUUGCAAUUGAUACUGGCAGGCUUGAGUACAGUUGAGGUAGGCGGAAAUGGGGGUGUAGCGGUGAAAUGCUUAGAUAUCACGAAGAACUCCGAUUGCGAAGGCAGCUUAAUAAAGUGCCACUGACAUUGAUGCUCGAAAGUGUGGGUAUCAAACAGGAUUAGCCUUGUAGUC